RNAcentral lists this ribosomal RNA (496 nucleotides) under uncultured bacterium. RNAcentral's name for it is "partial 16S ribosomal RNA". It matches the Rfam family "Bacterial small subunit ribosomal RNA", at positions 28 to 506 of the family's 1533-position model. The record is from RNAcentral.
GAUGAACGCUGGCGGCGUGCCUAAUACAUGCAAGUCGAGCGAACAGACGAGGAGCUUGCUCCUCUGAUGUUAGCGGCGGACGGGUGAGUAACACGUGGAUAACCUACCUAUAAGACUGGGAUAACUUCGGGAAACCGGAGCUAAUACCGGAUAACAUGUUGAACCGCAUGGUUCAACAGUGAAAGACGGUCUUGCUGUCACUUAUAGAUGGAUCCGCGCCGCAUUAGCUAGUUGGUAAGGUAACGGCUUACCAAGGCAACGAUGCGUAGCCGACCUGAGAGGGUGAUCGGCCACACUGGAACUGAGACACGGUCCAGACUCCUACGGGAGGCAACAGUAGGGAAUCUUCCGCAAUGGGCGAAAGCCUGACGGGGCAACGCCGCGUGAGUGAAGAAGGUCUUCGGAUCGUAAAACUCUGUUAUUAGGGAAAAAAAAAUGUGUAAGUAACUAUGCCCGUCUUGACGGUACCUAAGCAAAAAGCCACGGCUAACUACGU